CCUAAGCUAAACUUUGUAAAGCAUAACAAAUAGAAAGACAACAAAACUCCAACAUCAUGUCCUCCGCAUCCCAUCAUCAACUAAAAUCAUGGCCAGCACUAAACUUCAUGGAUGCACGAACUGUGGCAAAUAUCAUCAAGAAAGAGAAUCCUGACUUUCAAAUAUUCAUAUUGUUGGCAGGAAGUCCAGUAACAAAGGAUCUUAAACAUGGUCGAGUUCGACUCUUUACUAAUAUGGAGGAAAUAGUGGUUAUUGUUCCUCAAGAGGGCUGAAAUGUAAACCCUACAUCUUCAAAUAAUAAAUAAUAUAUAAAAGUAAUAAACUACUUCUUCUACUA
Long non-coding RNA from Cucumis sativus (cucumber), 337 nucleotides. RefSeq lists it as uncharacterized. The transcript is spliced from 2 exons. The record is from RefSeq and is a predicted model, not a curated record. NCBI's taxonomy places the organism in Eukaryota, Viridiplantae, Streptophyta, Magnoliopsida, Cucurbitales, Cucurbitaceae.